AAUUGACGGGACCCGCACAAGCGGUGGAUGAUGUGGAUUAAUUCGAUGCAACGCGAAGAACCUUACCUACCCUUGACAUGUCCGGAACUUGCCAGAGAUGGCUUGGUGCCCGAAAGGGAAUCGGAACACAGGUGCUGCAUGGCUGUCGUCAGCUCGUGUCGUGAGAUGUUGGGUUAAGUCCCGCAACGAGCGCAACCCUUAUCAUUAGUUGCUACGCAAGGGCACUCUAAUGAGACUGCCGGUGACAAACCGGAGGAAGGUGGGGAUGACGUCAAGUCCUCAUGGCCCUUAUGGGUAGGGCUUCACACGUCAUACAAUGGUUGGUACAACGAGUUGCGAGUCGGUGACGGCGAGCUAAUCUCUUAAAGCCAAUCUCAGUUCGGAUUGUAGGCUGCAACUCGCCUACAUGAAGUCGGAAUCGCUAGUAAUCGCGGAUCAGCACGCCGCGGUGAAUACGUUCCCGGGCCUU
RNAcentral lists this ribosomal RNA (469 nucleotides) under uncultured Tepidiphilus sp. RNAcentral describes it as "bacterial SSU rRNA". It matches the Rfam family "Bacterial small subunit ribosomal RNA", at positions 908 to 1382 of the family's 1533-position model. Lineage: Bacteria; Pseudomonadati; Pseudomonadota; Hydrogenophilia; Hydrogenophilales; Hydrogenophilaceae. The record is from RNAcentral.